CAGAACGUCGUGAGACAGUUCGGUCCCUAUCCGUCGUGGGCGUAGGAAAUUUGAGAGGAGCUGUCCUUAGUACGAGAGGACCGGGAUGGACAUACCUCUGGUGUACCAGUUGUCGUGCCAACGGCAUAGCUGGGUAGCUAUGUGUGGACGGGAUAAGUGCUGAAAGCAUCUAAGCAUGAAGCCCCCCUCAAGAUGAGAUUUCCCAACUUCGGUUAUAAGAUCCCUCAAAGAUGAUGAGGUUAAUAGGUUCGAGGUGGAAGCAUGGUGACAUGUGGAGCUGACGAAUACUAAUCGAUCGAAGACUUAAUCAAAA
RNAcentral lists this ribosomal RNA (313 nucleotides) under Staphylococcus aureus. RNAcentral's name for it is "partial 23S ribosomal RNA". It matches the Rfam family "Bacterial large subunit ribosomal RNA", at positions 2612 to 2925 of the family's 2925-position model. Lineage: Bacteria; Bacillati; Bacillota; Bacilli; Caryophanales; Staphylococcaceae. The record is from RNAcentral.